CCAAAGUAACACCUAUAAGUGUGUGUGUGUUUAUUUUUCUUUUCAUUUAAACAUUGAUAUAUUUCAAAAGCACCAAAUAUUGGAUCUGAACCAGCAAUUGGUUGCAUAGGUGGUCCAUCUCUUUUUGUUCUACAUGAAUCUUCAAACAGCGGUGAAAUAAAAGGGCAAUUGUUUAUAUAUCCUUAAAAAGUUUACGACUUUCUAAUUUAUCUCUCUCAGAAGACUAAUAUUAAAAAUAUAUUUUUUACAUUCCAACCUAUUUCAAAUAUAUCCCUAAUAAAGUUAAAAUCUGUUAAUAACUCGGUUAUCUUUAUGAAAUUACUAUUUUGCCUUUUCAAAUAUAUUUUUCUACCAGCACCAAUUUUUCUUAUUUGCUCUUAAGUUAAAGGCAUAAAAAGUAUUUUAUUCUUUGGUCUUUUCAAAUAUAUCCUUCUACCAUCAUCAACAUUUCUUAUUUGCCCUUAAGUUAAGGGUAAAACUGGCAUUUUAAUUUUUUUUAAUUGUGAUAGAUAUUUAACUCACGUUUAACCCAAACUAACUCAACGGGUGAUAACUACAGGAGUAUUUUGAAAUAACGGAGGAACAUAUAAGGGGUAUAUUAAAAAAAAAAGUAAGGAUAAAUAAAAUAUUUCAGAAGUUUUGAAGGGUAUAUAAGCAAUUAUCCCUAAAUAAAUUAGGUACAAAUCUAACUAAUA
Molecule: long non-coding RNA, 695 nt
Filed under: Ananas comosus (pineapple)
Lineage: Eukaryota; Viridiplantae; Streptophyta; Magnoliopsida; Poales; Bromeliaceae
Description: long non-coding RNA (ACOM_LNC017063)
Source: RNAcentral